UCCUACGGGAGGCAGCAGUGGGGAAUAUUGCACAAUGGGCGCAAGCCUGAUGCAGCGACGCCGCGUGGGGGAUGACGGCCUUCGGGUUGUAAACCUCUUUCACCAUCGGCGAAGCCCAUGAUUUUUGUUGUGGGUGACGGUAG
This 143-nucleotide ribosomal RNA is filed under the name uncultured bacterium. Its description in RNAcentral is "partial 16S ribosomal RNA". It matches the Rfam family "Bacterial small subunit ribosomal RNA", at positions 337 to 478 of the family's 1533-position model. The record is from RNAcentral.